RNAcentral lists this ribosomal RNA (1449 nucleotides) under uncultured Bordetella sp. Its description in RNAcentral is "partial 16S-23S ribosomal RNA intergenic spacer". It matches the Rfam family "Bacterial small subunit ribosomal RNA". Lineage: Bacteria; Pseudomonadati; Pseudomonadota; Betaproteobacteria; Burkholderiales; Alcaligenaceae. The record is from RNAcentral.
GAACGCUCAGAUGGAUGCCACACAUGCAAGUCGAACGGUUAUACCGGACUUCGGUCUGGUGGCGAGUGGCGAACGGGUGAGUAAUGUAUCGGAACGUGCCUAGUAGCGGGGGAUAACUACGCGAAAGCGUAGCUAAUACCGCAUACGCCCUUCGGGGGAAAGCGGGGGACCUUCGGGCCUCGCACUAUUAGAGCGGCCGAUAUCGGAUUAGCUAGUUGGUGGGGUAACGGCUCACCAAGGCGACGAUCCGUAGCUGGCUUGAGAGGACGACCAGCCACACUGGGACCGAGACACGGCCCAGACUCCUACGGGAGGCAGCAGUGGGGAAUUUCGGGACAAUGGGGAAACCCUGAUCCAGCCAUCCCGCGUGUGCGAUGAAGGCCUUCGGGUUGUAAAGCACUUUUGCGGCAGGAAAGAACAUGACGGAUAACACCCGUGCAACUGACGGUACCGUGGUACAUUAAGCACCGGCUAACUACGCCAGCAGCCUGUAAUACGUAGGUGCAAGCGUUAAUCGGAAUUACUGGGCGCAAGCGGGCGCAGGCGGUUCUGAAAGAAAGAUGUGAAUCCCAGAGCUUAACUUUGGAACUGCAUUUUUAACUACCGAGCUAGAGUGUGUCAGAGGGAGGUGGAAUUCCGCGUAGCAGUGAAAUGCGUAGAUAUGCGGAGGAACACCGAUGGCGAAGGCAGCCUCCUGGGAUAACACUGACGCUCAUGCACGAAAGCGUGGGGAGCAAACAGGAUUAGAUACCCUGGUAGUCCACGCCCUAAACGAUGUCAACUAGCUGUUGGGGCCUUCGCCUGGUAGCGCAGCUAACGCGUGAAGUUGACCGCCUGUGGAGCAUGGUCGCAAGAUUAAACUCAAAGGAAUUGACGGACCUGCACAAGCGGUGGAUGAUGUGGAUUAAUUCGAUGCAACGCGAAAAACCUUACCUACCCUGAUACGGCUCCUGGGUUGGAAUCCCGAAGAGAUUUGGGAGUGCUCGCAAGAGAACCGAACACAGGUGCUGCAUGGCUGUCGUCAGCUCGUGUCGUGAGAUGUUGGGUUAAGUCCUGGCAACGAGCGCAACCCUUGUCAUUAGUUGCCACGAGUGAAGACUGACGAGACUGCUGGUGACAAACCGAGAAGGUGGGGAUGACGUCAAGUCCGGUGGCCUUUAUGUAGGGCUUCACCGGCCAUACAAUUGUCGGACAGAGGGUCGCCAACCCGCGAGGGGGAGCCAAUCCCAGAAACCCGAUCGUAGUCCUGAUCGCAGGCCCGCAAAACUCGACCGCGGAAGUCGGAAUCGCUAGUAAUCGCGGACUGUAUGUCGCAGAAUACGUUCCUGGCCUGCACACACCGCCCGUCACACCAUGGGAGUGGGUUUACCAGAAGUAGUUAGCCUCAACCGUAAGGAGGGCGAUUACCACGGUAGGAUUCAUGACUGGGGUGAAGUCGUAACAAGGUAG